Molecule: ribosomal RNA, 631 nt
Filed under: uncultured bacterium
Lineage: Bacteria
Description: bacterial SSU rRNA
Rfam family: Bacterial small subunit ribosomal RNA (bases 1-543)
Source: RNAcentral
CCUACGGGAGGCAGCAGUGGGGAAUUGUUCGCAAUGGGCGCAAGCCUGACGACGCAACGCCGCGUGGAGGAUGAAGACCUUCGGGUCGUAAACUCCUUUCGAUCGAGACGAAUGUUUUCCGGGUGAACAAUCCGGAAAAGUGACGGUACCGAGAGAAGAAGCCCCGGCUAACUCUGUGCCAGCAGCCGCGGUAAUACAGGGGGGGCAAGCGUUGUUCGGAAUUACUGGGCGUAAAGGGCUUGUAGGUGGCCAGCUAAGUCAGACGUGAAAUCCCUCAGCUUAACUGGGGAACUGCGUCUGAUACUGGAUGGCUUGAGUUUGGGAGAGGGAUGCGGAAUUCCAGGUGUAGCGGUGAAAUGCGUAGAUAUCUGGAGGAACACCGGCGGCGAAGGCGGCAUCCUGGACCAACACUGACACUGAGGAGCGAAAGCCAGGGGAGCAAACGGGGAUUAGAUACCCCCGGUAGUCCUGGCCCUAAACGAUGAAUGNUGUGUGGNGGUAGUCGAUCCUCGCCGUCGCCGACGCUACGCAUAAGCAUCCGCCGUCGGGUAGGUACGGUCGCGAGGCGUGAACGACAAUAGAGUUAGUACGGCGUGAGACGUGACCGACGGACGACGACGAGGGAGGAGGG